This 257-nucleotide ribosomal RNA is filed under the name uncultured bacterium. RNAcentral's name for it is "partial 16S ribosomal RNA". It matches the Rfam family "Bacterial small subunit ribosomal RNA", at positions 524 to 776 of the family's 1533-position model. The record is from RNAcentral.
UACAGAGACCUCAAGCGUUAUCCGGAAUCAUUGGGCGUAAAGCGUACCGAUAGGUGGUUUUACAAGUCAGAAGUGAAAUCUUAAAGCUCAACUUUGAGACUGUCUUUUGAAACUGUAAAACUAGAGGGGCAAAGAGGAAGCUGGAACGAGCGGUGUAGUAGUGAAAUGCGUUGAUAUCGCUCGGAACACCAAUAGCGUAGGCAGGCUUCUGGGUGCCACCUGACACUGCUAGGACGAAAGCGUGGGGAGCGAAUGGG